AUUGAACGCUGGCGGCAUGCCUUACACAUGCAAGUCGAACGGCAGCGCGGGGCAACCUGGCGGCGAGUGGCGAACGGGUGAGUAAUAUAUCGGAACGUACCCUGGAGUGGGGGAUAACGUAGCGAAAGUUACGCUAAUACCGCAUACGAUCUAAGGAUGAAAGCAGGGGACCGCAAGGCCUUGUGCUCCUGGAGCGGCCGAUAUCUGAUUAGCUAGUUGGUAGGGUAAAGCCUACCAAGGCAUCGAUCAGUAGCUGGUCUGAGAGGACGACCAGCCACACUGGAACUGAGACACGGUCCAGACUCCUACGGGAGGCAGCAGUGGGGAAUUUUGGACAAUGGGCGCAAGCCUGAUCCAGCAAUGCCGCGUGAGUGAAGAAGGCCU
Molecule: ribosomal RNA, 384 nt
Filed under: uncultured bacterium
Lineage: Bacteria
Description: bacterial SSU rRNA
Rfam family: Bacterial small subunit ribosomal RNA
Source: RNAcentral